Molecule: long non-coding RNA, 3282 nt
Filed under: Equus caballus (horse)
Lineage: Eukaryota; Metazoa; Chordata; Mammalia; Perissodactyla; Equidae
Description: lncRNA (ENSECAG00000046742.1)
Source: RNAcentral
UGAAAUAAAUGGGGUUGGAUCAACUCAUUGGCCUUUUCUGGCACCCCAGCAACCAGAGACAUGCCUCCCCCAAUGAUUUCAUGUGCAGUGCUGAACACAUGAAUCUUGGAUGCCAUUUCAGAAGGAACCACGAGCCAUUUAUUCUUAGUCUGAAAUUGGCAGCCUUUACGUUCUGGGGAAUUUUUAAUAGGCCUAGCAGAGGAACCAACAUUAGGGAUUAUUUUCUCAGUGUGGGGUUAGAUGUGUAAUGCAUAUGUUUGCCCUGAGGACCCUAAACCACAUACUAUAAAACUUUGUUAAAAUGCCUUUCUCCUCAACUAUUAACAUUUUCCUAUGCAUAUUGCUCAUUUGUAACAGGCCCAGCCAAAAGUUUAUAAAGCUAUGUUCCCCCACAGAACCAUUAUUUUUUGUGCUAAUUAAUUAGCGAAACCAAUAUCUCAGAUAUGAAAUUCCAAGCUCAGUUACUCAGGUUAGCUGAAAAUCUGUUUUUCUAAUUAUUGACUACUUUCUGCUACUUUAAGUCCACCACCUAAGUUCUUGGACCGAGCUCACUUCUGGGAGCUGGGGAGGUCUCCAAUGGCAACACAGUUCCUCACUGAAUAGGGCAGUGGGAGGAAGCGACUGCAGCUGUUGGAGUCACUGAGGAUUUGGGAGGAAGUCAGAAGAAGAAAAAAAAGGAGAGUUACAGGACAGACAUUUGGGGAAAAAAAAAGGCUAAGACCUUUUGACAAAAUUUCAGUGAGGUGUAAUCCUCUAAAGUUACGAAUACACUUAUACUCUUCAAAUCAACACAGGCUUCAAAAGGUAUAUGUCAAGGGAAUAAUGAUUUGGACUCAUCUGGAAAAAAAAUCUGCAUAUAUAUUGUUGUUGUGUUCUUAUGUUCUUGAUUGUUUGGUUUUAUUUCUGAAUUCCUGAAGCUAAAUUUUUAUUUCUAAUUUGAUGGGAAUUUAUGCAGAUUGUUUUCUCGUUACUCCCAGUAUGUACAAUUUACAUUACAUAUCUGAUUGUUUACAUCUGGGGACACACACACACACAUAUAUAUACACAUAUACAUAUGUACACAUAUAAGCAUAUAUAUCUAUAAAUAUACACAUAUACAUAUGGGAGAGAUUUUGAAAUCUGUCGAAUCUAUGUUUCAGUAAUCUGCCCCCAGGGUAGGGAGAUUUGACAUAGCACAAGGAACAGCGAUUUGUGAGAAAUAAACUGUGGCAUAUUUUUACCCCACCAAGCUGAGACAAUUCAAUAAACCCUUCAACUGUCACCUAAACAUCAAACAAAUAAAUACCAACAAGUACACUUCAGAAAAAAAAGGGGUCAAUAUAAAAAAAUAAACAUGAGACUUAUAUGAACAUCUCACAUGUUUAUUAUAUUUCUCUCUCUCCUAUGUUAUUGUAUUUGUGAGCCUGCAUUUCUUUUCUGAUUAUAGUGGUUUUCAGAAGGGUUAGAAGGAACAAGAAGGUCGCUAACGGUCCUUGAGCAUAACCAUGCUGCAGGCAGUGGGCAGUGUGUUCAAUGUGUGUGUCUCAUUGUAACUUUACAACACAUAAAGUUAUAAAAUAAGUAAAAUAUAAGAAUUGUCCUUCCUAGGUGACAGCUGAGAACACGGAAGCUCAGAAGGAAAACCCAGGCUCUUUCUCCUAACAUCUGUUUCUUGGAAAAACAGCUGCACAGCACACAUAUGCAAGCAGAGUUUGCUCUUAAAAUUAAAUUUCUACUUUUAAUUCUUAUUAUGAAUGUUGAUUUCUAACUCCCAAAGACCAGUCUCUGAGUAUAUACAAAAGUAUCAUUGCCAUAAGGCAUUUGUACACUGGUCGGAGGGGAAAACCAUUCCUUGGCAGCAGCCAGCUGUAAGGCAGAGCUUAAAAAUUAAACAGAAGGACUGUCUGGGGCUGUGAGGGGCAAUACAGAAGGGGAAGGAAAGACAUGACACAGUCUGAAUAAGAACAGUCAGGGACCCAAGCCAUGGAGUUGUUUGGCUAAGGGCAUUUUUUCCUGGGAAUCCAUCUCCCACAUCAAUGUUUGGUGCCCUCCGUGGCACACGUUAACUCUCCCCUUGUCAGGCAGGGCCUUGAGCUCCGAGAUUUCCUAAAUUCACCAUAUAACUAUACAACAACCAAUUCUCCAAUAGUCUGAUAGUUGAAUCCAUUGAUAAUAACUAGCAACAAGUUUACAGCAAACUCCUCCUCUGCUCACUCCCAGAUGCUUUCUUUAGCUUUCAACAGAAAUAUGAAAGCUUUAGUUCAGAAAAAUAACUUAAGUGGCAGCCAUUUUAGGUAUCAUGGUAGAAAGUGUUUCCCAAAUUUUAAUUGCUCUGGCACCACCAGUAUAAUUUUGCCAUACUCUAUUACAGAUCUAGUAUUUUUAAUUUUUUUUAUAUUGACCCCUAUUUUUUACUGAUAUCUAUUUGUUCACGUUUGUGUUUUAGGGGAUAGCUAACUGACUUAUUGAGUUGUCUCAGCGUGGUAGGGUGAAAGCAUGCUACAGUUUUGCACAAAUUACUGCCCCUUGUGCUAUGCUAAACCUCCUGAUCCUGUGGACAGAUUACUGAAUCACACUUUGGGCGGAUUUCAAAAUCGCUCAGGCACUUUUGGUUAUUAAAGUUGUAAUUUUCCAUUUUGCAUUUAUUCGUUGUUCUCCAGUUUAAAAGUCUUUUCUAUCCCGUUGAAUCAUACUUAUCUACCUAUUGCAGGCCAAGUUAGUGGUUUUGAGGACUUGAAGACGGGGAGGACAGUGUUGGCUCUUUGACUCUUCUCACUCAUCCUGGAACCUUGGCCCAGGGGUGAGGCUGGGUUCACGAGCUGCUCUGGGAUGCAUCCUCAACGCUCCAUUUUCAAGGCCGACUUCUGCAAACAUCCUCUCAGGGUUGCUGUCUCUGUACUCUGGCUGUUGUGAAUCUCUGUGUACGGGGGCCAAGAAGAUCCAACUCAGUCUCUUCCAAAUCUUUCCAACUCCAGCCCCAUGAAAACACCAUAUGGCUCCCUCCUCCUCCCUCAUUUUUUUAAACACUUCAGUGGUUUUUAGCAUAUUCACUAUGUUGUGCAACCAUCACUACUCUAUAUAUUUGUUUUAAAAUAAAGCCUUAGAUCACAACCAUGCUUUUUUUAAAAAAACAUUAUUUGUAAUUAGAGGGUAAUAGCAGACAAAUAUUACAAUGAAAACAAAACUGUGCUAUUCAGUUCUUGCUAAAUCAUGCUGCCCGUUGAAAGCUUUGGGCUUGAGGGCUGUUCCGUUUGCUAAAGAGAGAAGUCAUCGAAGGUCACAUUGACGUUGAGGAUAUACUAG